UGGAUAAACCAAUCCAUCAGAAUUACUAAACUUCUGCUUUUUAAAGGAGUCGGUGGAGUCUAGACAGCGUAAAGACAACGUCAGGGAGUUCCACAGCCUUGGUCCUAGUGCCUGAAAAGCCCGAUCCCCAUGUGUUUUAAACCUAGUAUGUUUCAGAUCCACAUAACCAGAACGGUUAUGUUGGAUCUGAAGGUUCCAGUGAGCACUGUUGGGGCAGGAGAGAACAUAAUUUCA
Long non-coding RNA from Oreochromis niloticus (Nile tilapia), 234 nucleotides. RefSeq lists it as uncharacterized. The transcript has 2 exons. NCBI's taxonomy places the organism in Eukaryota, Metazoa, Chordata, Actinopteri, Cichliformes, Cichlidae. The record is from RefSeq and is a predicted model, not a curated record.